RNAcentral lists this ribosomal RNA (490 nucleotides) under uncultured bacterium. RNAcentral's name for it is "bacterial SSU rRNA". It matches the Rfam family "Bacterial small subunit ribosomal RNA", at positions 32 to 507 of the family's 1533-position model. The record is from RNAcentral.
AAUCAACGCUGGCGGCGUGCCUCAGACAUGCAAGUCGUACGAUUAAAGCUCUCUUCGGAGAGUGUAUAGAGUGGCGCACGGGUGAGUAACACGUAAGUAAUCUACCUUCGAGUGGGGAAUAACAGUCGGAAACGACUGCUAAUACCGCAUAAUGCAGCGGCACCUAAUGGUGACAGUUGUUAAAGCAUUUAUGUGCUUGAAGAGGAGCUUGCGGCAGAUUAGCUAGUUGGUAAGGUAAUGGCUUACCAAGGCAACGAUCUGUAGCCGACCUGAGAGGGUGGUCGGUCACACUGACACUGAAUAACGGGUCAGACUCCUACGGGAGGCAGCAGUCGGGAAUUUUGGGCAAUGGGCGCAAGCCUGACCCAGCAACGCCGCGUGAAGGAUGAAAUCCCUCGGGAUGUAAACUUCGUAAGAAUAGGAAGAAUAAGUGUAGGAUAAUACCCUGCACUGAUGACGGUACUAUUCGUAAGCUCCGGCUAACUCCGUG